GACGAACGCUGGCGGCGUGCUUAACACAUGCAAGUCGAGCGGUAAGGCCCUUUCGGGGGUACACGAGCGGCGAACGGGUGAGUAACACGUGGGUGACCUGCCCUCAGCUCUGGGAUAAGCCUGGGAAACUGGGUCUAAUACUGGAUAUGACUCCACGGUGCAUGUCGUGGGGUGGAAAGCCUUGUGCGGCUGAGGAUGGGCCCGCGGCCUAUCAGCUUGUUGGUGGGGNGAUGGCCUACCAAGGCGACGACGGGUAGCCGGCCUGAGAGGGCGACCGGCCACACUGGGACUGAGACACGGCCCAGACUCCUACGGGAGGCAGCAGUGGGGAAUAUUGCACAAUGGGCGAAAGCCUGAUGCAGCGACGCCGCGUGAGGGAUGACGG
Molecule: ribosomal RNA, 385 nt
Filed under: uncultured bacterium
Lineage: Bacteria
Description: bacterial SSU rRNA
Rfam family: Bacterial small subunit ribosomal RNA
Source: RNAcentral